GUUUCUAUCUUUGGUUAUCUAGCUGUAUGAGUGUAAAUAAGCCGUCAUAAAGCUAGAUAACCGAAAGUAGGAAUCA
Xenopus tropicalis (tropical clawed frog) is the source of this 76-nucleotide microRNA precursor. Ensembl annotates it as xtr-mir-9-3. Its record names the gene xtr-mir-9-3. NCBI's taxonomy places the organism in Eukaryota, Metazoa, Chordata, Amphibia, Anura, Pipidae. The record is from Ensembl.